GUGUCAGCAGCCGCGGUAAGACGGAGGAGGCGAGCGUUAUCCGGAUUUACUGGGCGUCAAGGGCGCGUAGGCGGCCUAGCAGGUCGUGGGUGAAAGCCCCAGGCUCAACCUGGGGAGGUCCUGCGAUACCACUAGGCUUGAGGAUCGUAGAGGGGGGCGGAAUGUCCGGUGGAGCGGUGGAAUGCGUAGAUAUCGGACGGAACACCCGAGGCGAAGGCGGCCCCCUGGGCGACACCUGACGCUGAGGCGCGAAAGCGUGGGGAGCAAAGCGGAUUAGAUACCCUUGUAGUCC
RNAcentral lists this ribosomal RNA (292 nucleotides) under uncultured bacterium. RNAcentral describes it as "partial 16S ribosomal RNA". It matches the Rfam family "Bacterial small subunit ribosomal RNA", at positions 505 to 796 of the family's 1533-position model. The record is from RNAcentral.